RNAcentral lists this long non-coding RNA (2396 nucleotides) under Homo sapiens (human). RNAcentral describes it as "HSALNT0050379". The record is from RNAcentral. Lineage: Eukaryota; Metazoa; Chordata; Mammalia; Primates; Hominidae.
AGGCCACCCACUACAGGUCCUGGAUUCUGCCCUGAAGGCACCCGGUGGCCCACCUUCCAUAUUGUACCUGAUUGUCAGGUUUUCAAAGCACACUCGCCUGAGGGUGUUAGAAACAAGCCAGAGAAAACUAAAGCCCAGAGAAGAGCCCUAGGAUAGCCUGUCACUGGGAGAGCUGACUUUUCAAGCCUCUGUGAUUUGGUUUGGUUUGGGUUGGGUUGGGUUGCGUUUUUUCUUACCUUUCUUGCCAUAGAUCAGGGUCUCACGAACCUCUUAAGAGUCAAUGGCCCGUCCACUAUCAGUGAAGCAAUAUAUAUAUUUUUUUAUUUUGUUUAUUUGUUGUUGUUUGAGACAGAGUCUUGAUUUGUCACUCAGGCUGCAGUGCCGUGUCUCGAUCUUGGCUCACUGCAACCUCCGCCUCCCUGGUUCAAUCCAUUCUCUUGUCCCAGCCUCUCCAGUAGCUGGUAUUACAGGUGCAUACCACCACGCUCAGCUAAUUUUUUUUUUUUUUUUGUAUUUUUAAUAGAGACAAUGUUUCACCAUGUUGGCCAGGCUGGUCUCGAACUCCUGACCUCAAGUGACCCGCCCGCCUUGUCCUCGAAUAGUGCUGGGAUUACAGGUGCGACCCACCACACCCGGCUGCAAUGUUUGUUUUAAUUACUUUUGGCAAGUAUUUCCUGAGUACCCCGAGCGUGCCAGGUGAAGAGAGACGGAUAAUAACAGCGCUAGCCAGCACGUAUUAAGCCUUGCAAAGCUGCACGGGCAUGAACUUGUGGCUUCAACACAACCUUAUGAGGCCCACCACAGCUGCCAAACAUGAGGUGAUGGGACAGCCCUCGUGGCCUCCACCCACCGCCCUGGUGGAGAAGUGAAACAUGAACCCACCAGUGCAAGACAGAGGAAGAGGCACCAGCGAAGUCACACUAGGGAGAAUCCACAUCAGCCUGGCCAUGCAGGGGAGGCCUCACGAAGCCCUGGGAAGCCAGAGCAAUAAAACUCUUGUUCAAACAAACGAUUACAGUGGUAAGACACGAAAAGGAAGCUGUUCCUGCUGAUGAAGGGUGAGAAACCUGGAGCCUUCCCUCCCUCCACGCCACGUGGCAGACACCUCAGGGAAUGCUGGGUCUCAGGAGAACAUGCCGAUCCCGUUAACACACAGUCUUCAUAUGAAACCAUGUGGGAACUCAACACAUGCUGUCUCCUCUCUAACCUGAGAUCCUGGCCCUGUUCCACAAAGCGAGGCAGCCUCUUAUAUACCCCUCACAAACCAAGUACUGGGGUGGUGGCCAAAGGGGAGAGACAGGCUAGGGUGUGGGUGGGCCGAAGAAAUCUGAGAGGGACAGGAGCUGCGGUGGCCUGGUCUCUGAGCCUGCAGAGGCUCCCUUCCAGAGAGAGAGCUUGGAACUCAGUCUCUGCCUCCCUCCUUCUCUCCCUCCCUCCAGCAGAACUGCCCUGCCCCAGGGGGUUCAUACCUCGCUAGUCCCCUAGGCCUACACCUUUCCUAAUCUUAGGAGAGACAUAAGAAAAGGAAUCUCUCCCCUUCCCCGCAGAAUACUUUUUUUUUUUUUUUAAACAGGGUCUCUCUCUGUCACCUGGCUGGAGUGCAGUGGCGCAAUCAUGCUCACUGCAACUCUGCCUCCUGGGCUCAAGUGAUCCUCCCACCUCAGCCUCCCAAGUAGCUGGGACCACAGGCAUGCACCACCACGCCUGGCUAAUUUUUGUAUUUUUUGUAGAGAUGGGAUUUCGCCAUGUUGCCCAGGCUGGUCUCAAACUCCCAGCCUCAAGUGAUCCUCCCACCUAGGCCUCCCAAAGUGCUGGGAUUACAGGCAUGAGCCACCGUGCCUGGCCCACAAUACUUUGGUAUAGUUGCUUCAAGCCCAGAUUCUGGUUCUUCGCACAGUCAACCUAUAGGGUGCCCCCCCACCGCCCCCCCCAUAGUCCUUGAUAGUCAUGCUGGGUUAGUUUCUCUAACCAGAGGAUGGGCCCAUUCUUCGCUGUGAGAUGGUGUGUGGGGACAUCGGUAAGGAACAAAUAAAGACUUGGGCAAAUAACUUUAUUCUGAGGUUGGUUAUCUCAGCCACAGGCUGAGCAUCAUAGUACCUAUUCCGCAGGGCUAUUUGGAGGAUUAAAUGAGAUAAUGUGUAUCAAAGCCCAACAUGACAGGAGCUCAGCGUAGAAGCAGUUCCAUACCAGAAAAAAGGAUGGCUUUGUCCCUUAGGUGUCGUGUCACCUCAGAUAAGGCAUUUCCCCUCUUUGAACUCCAGUUUCCUCAUUUGUAAAAUGAGCAUGUUUAAAAUUUUUUUUACUUAAAAAAGGGGCAUAUUAAUAUCUACCCUUCACAGUUGCUAUAAGUAGAGGCGAUUCACAUGACGUGGUUGAUACCUGGCACAAAGAAAGUA